This 1321-nucleotide ribosomal RNA is filed under the name metagenome. RNAcentral's name for it is "bacterial LSU rRNA". It matches the Rfam family "Bacterial large subunit ribosomal RNA", at positions 1561 to 2925 of the family's 2925-position model. The record is from RNAcentral.
AGUGGAUGGGGAACAACCUAGUUGUGCGUGUGUAAAGGUAGUGCCAAGAAAAGCGGUGAUCAUGAUGAAAAUCAAUUCCCGGUACCCGAAACCGACACAGGUGGGCAAGUAGAGAAUACUAAGGGGCGCGAGGUAACUCUCUCCAAGGAACUCGGCAAAAUGACCCCGUAACUUAGGGAGAAGGGGUGCCACCGAGAGGUGGUCGCAGUGAAGAGGCCCAGGCGACUGUUUAGCAAAAACAUAGGUCUCUGCAAACUCGAAAGAGGAGGUAUAGGGGCUGACGCCUGCCCAGUGCCGGAAGGUUAAAGAAGUUGGUCAGUCUUAGGAUGAAGCUAGCGACUGAAGCCCCGGUGAACGGCGGCCGUAACUAUAACGGUCCUAAGGUAGCGAAAUUCCUUGUCGGGUAAGUUCCGACCCGCACGAAAGGCGUAACGAUCUGGGCGCUGUCUCGGAGAGAGGCUCGGCGAAAUAGGAUUGUCUGUGAAGAUACGGACUACCUGCAUUUGGACAGAAAGACCCUAUGAAGCUUUACUAUAGCUUGGAAUUGUGUUCGGGCUUCCUGUGCGCAGGAUAGGUGGGAGGCGUAGAAGGUAUUCUUGUGGGGAUACUGGAGCCAACGGUGAGAUACCACUCUCAGGAGGCUAGAAUUCUAACUUAAUUAAGGACAGUUUCAGGUGGGUAGUUUGACUGGGGCGGUCGCCUCCAAAAAGGUAACGGAGGCGUACAAAGGUUCCCUCAGACUGGUUGGAAAUCAGUCGCAGAGUGCAAAGGCAGAAGGGAGCUUGACUGCGAGAAGUACAGUUCGAGCAGGGUGGAAACACGGUCUUAGUGAUCCGACGGUGCUGUGUGGAAGGGCCGUCGCUCAACGGAUAAAAGUUACUCUAGGAUAACAGGCUGAUCUCCCCCAAGAGUUCACAUCGACGGGGAGGUUUGGCACCUCGAUGUCGGCUCAUCGCAACCUGGGGCGGAAGUACGUCCCAAGGGUUGGGCUGUUCGCCCAUUAAAGCGGUACGUGAGCUGGGUUCAGAACGUCGUGAGACAGUUCGGUCCAUAUCCGAUGUAGGCGUGAGAAUAUUGAGAGGAGCCUUCCUUAGUACGAGAGGACCGGGAAGGACGCACCGCUGGUGUACCUGUUAUGAUGCCAAUUGUAAACGCAGGGUAGCCAAGUGCGGAGAGGAUAACCGCUGAGAGCAUCUAAGUGGGAAGCCCACCUCAAGAUGAGUAUUCUGGUGUAAGGUCACGGGAAGACGACCCGUAAAUAGGCACGAGGUGGAAGUGCAGAGAUGUAUGAAGCCGAAGUGUACUAAUAGACCGUCGGCUU